GGCCAACCCAACAAAAGGUCCUGAAGACAAUAAUUGAAACUAUAUGCCUUCCCCCAUCUUCUAACUUUACUCUGUGCUCAACUAGUAGUAACCAACUUGAAUGGCCAUAGAUAGUGUUAGUGAAAAAAUAAUCAGCUAACAGGGUUUUGCUAUUUCUUAGACCCAUAAAGGUUGGGAUCAGUUUCAUAAUAUACUACAUUCCCUGUGUCACUCACAAAGUGAUCCUCCUUCAUGCUUCUUAUCAGAUAUCCCAACAAGUAAAAUGGUAGAGGCCCUGACUUCUUUGGCUCCUUAUAAUAUUUCCCUAACACUGGUUUAGCAGCUUCAGUUGCUUCU
Molecule: unclassified non-coding RNA, 336 nt
Filed under: Hevea brasiliensis (rubber tree)
Lineage: Eukaryota; Viridiplantae; Streptophyta; Magnoliopsida; Malpighiales; Euphorbiaceae
Source: RNAcentral